RNA transcript from Hypomesus transpacificus, 1629 nucleotides. RefSeq lists it as uncharacterized. Lineage: Eukaryota; Metazoa; Chordata; Actinopteri; Osmeriformes; Osmeridae. The record is from RefSeq and is a predicted model, not a curated record. The transcript has 3 exons.
GGACCAGCCUUGUGCCGUUGUGUUGUUGUGUUUUCCUAUUUGCCGUUGCGUUUUCCUAUUUGCCGUUGAGUUUUCCUAUUCGCCCAAUCGCCGUUGAGUUUUCCUAUUCGGCGUUGUGUUUUACUAUUUGCCGUUGUGUUUUUAUUUGCCUUUGUGUUUUGCUAUUUGCCGUUGUGUUUUGCUAUUUGCCGUUGUGUUUUGCACUUCAGGGCCACCGUACACGCCCCCUGGAAGGGCAAAAAACACUUUCUGCUUCAUACUCAAUUCUUACUUUGAGUCUGUUGCUUUUGUGUUGCCAAAAUGCCGGAUAGUUGUUGUGCUAUCGGAUGCACUAAUCGAAGAGGAGGCAUGAGCUGUGUUUCUAUAGAAUUCCGUCCGAUAAAGAAAGCCAAGAGAGGAGGAGAUUGUGGAUUUGCGCCAUUAUUAAACGUAACCUUACUUCUCCCUGCGGGGAGGGCAAACAAUGGCAGCCGUCCAAAUAUACACGUAUUUGCAGCGAACACUUAAUCAAAGGUCAACCUGCAUAUGAGAUGAUGGAGACUGACCCAGACUGGGCACCCUCCCUCUAUCUGGGUCACACAGAAAUCACUUGCACCAACACUGCACAAUCUGCAAGUCAAAGGAAGAGGGACCAAAGAAAAACCCCACUGCAGCCUGCUGAAGCCGAUGAGCAACACACUGUGGAUGAGACACACGAGGCUGAAGGAGGUGGUGCCAAAUCUGAUGACCCGUUGUCCCCUGACUGGGUACCAUCCAUCUUCACACACACACCAGCCAUCAAGAAGAGAAAAGGGGAGAGUUAUGAGCAGCACAACAGAAUGAAGAGCAAGUGGGUGGAGGAGAAGAAGAAGUCAGAUGCAAUGGAUGUCCUCCUAGAACUGUCAUCAGAGCCUGAUGCUGAGCUGGCGCCACUUGAGGAGGAAGAACAACAGUGUGACAACAGACUUUGUAAGGAAAAGACUGAAAGAUUACAAAAGGAAUGUAAUGAGCUCAGGGAGGAAAACCAAAGGUUGCGCUCAUCCAAUGUAAAGUGGAUGUAAAUACCUGAGAGAGUGUGGUGUGUUGUUGGUUGGUUGGGGGGGGGGGGGGGCUUGCCCGGGGCGCCAAAUGUGCUAGGACCCCCACUGUUGGUUGGGGCCUUGUAGGCCACAGGAUCGAAUACUAAGCGAGCGGGAGAGGAGGACGGUGAGAGAGUUCCAAUUGUUUUGAAUGCAUUGUUGAUUUCAGAUGACUUGAAAAUAAAUUGUCUUUUUUUUUUUUACCUUUAACAAAGUGUGAUAUUUGAAUGAUUACGAUUCAAAACAAAUUGUGAGAACAAUUCAUUCAGUCUGUUACAGUACUAUUAAUAAUCCAGUAGACGCUAUCUGAAAAACUUGUUAUAGGCAGGUAUGGAGGAUUACAAACUUUACAUAACGUAUUUCUUCGAAUAAACGCUGCCCUCGAAUUAACGCCUCACCAAAAAUGAACGUUAUUUAAUAAACGCUGCAGCAUUUAUUUGAAAAAAUACAGUACUUUUAGUCUCGGGUCAGUGUGUGUGUGUGUUUUAAGGUUGAAGGAGUAGAAAUUCAACAUUUGCUGAAUUGUACGAUGCAUUACCUCAGUAAAAUAAUCAAGGGUUCAAAAUGGUAA